Molecule: long non-coding RNA, 658 nt
Organism: Oryza sativa Japonica Group (Japanese rice)
Lineage: Eukaryota; Viridiplantae; Streptophyta; Magnoliopsida; Poales; Poaceae
Source: RefSeq, a predicted model, not a curated record
GACCUGCGCCCCCUCCCCCAGCCCUAAUCCCUCCUCAUCGCGAAGCCGCCGCCGCCUCCAUCCCCUGUCGUCCCUCCACGCCGCCUCCAUCCAACGACGCCGCUCCGACCUUCGACUCGUGACGAAUCUGCCGCAACCUCGCCCCCGCAACCCCGCCUCCAUCCCUCAACGCUGCCCUGACCUUCGGCUCUCGACGAAUUUGCCGCACCCCAUCCACCCCGCCACGCCAAACACCCAGACCUCCAUCCCCGACGCCGCCCCUGCCACCACGCAGCCCGUUUGUUUGUUUCUGCCCGUUUGCUGCAGAUCGUGCCGUGCUGAAGAUCACGUAGGAGUUCUUGAGUCCGCCUAUGGAUGUGAUGAUGCAAUUGCUCCUGGGGUUGGCCUUAUGCAUGUGGGCAGGUCUUGCUGUUCCAGCGAAGUUCCUUUCGGUGCUCCCUCACUCUGAGGAGAAUAGGAAAUAAUGAACCGCUGGUCAUUGCCUCUAUUCAAGUAUCCCAUUCAGAGGAGAGAUUCAAGUCAAAGCUGGCCGUUGCAUUUUCUAUUCAAGUAUCUGUUUAGUUCAAGAUGUUCAGUGUUUUCGUGGAUAUAUAUUGACCACGUACUCGGUUUAUAUUUCUUAAUUUGGGUGCACAGUGAAUCAGACCAUAUAGGUUCA